Molecule: unclassified non-coding RNA, 229 nt
Filed under: Hevea brasiliensis (rubber tree)
Lineage: Eukaryota; Viridiplantae; Streptophyta; Magnoliopsida; Malpighiales; Euphorbiaceae
Source: RNAcentral
CACUGGUCGCCUUCUUGUUACCAACAAGUGCGUUCAGCCAUUCAAGGUGUUGCACGGCGGAGUAUCGGCUCUGAUAUCGGAGGCUUUGGCCAGCAUGGGGGCCCAUAUGGCAUCCGGAUUUCGAAGGGUAGCUGGGAUUCACCUUAGCAUCAGCCAUCUGAAGCGCGCCGAGCUUGGCGACCUUAUCCUCGCCGAAGCUGCUCCUCUCAGUGUUGGCAAAACCAUUCAG